Molecule: non-coding RNA, 5947 nt
Organism: Misgurnus anguillicaudatus (oriental weatherfish)
Lineage: Eukaryota; Metazoa; Chordata; Actinopteri; Cypriniformes; Cobitidae
Source: RefSeq, a predicted model, not a curated record
AACACAAAAAAAGAUUUUGUUUAUCUACAUGUCAUGUGAUCAUGUGAGUGCAUCACAGUUUCAGAAUGGACAUCGAUAUGUAAUCAAUGUUAAAAUCUGAUUCAGACAAAUCUAAAUGCCUUUAAUUGUAAUAAAUUUAAAUGCAGAGCUGAGUUUUGGGGCCGUUCAGACGGGACUGUGAUCCACUUGGCUGGGCACUUCUCUGUGUGGGGUCAGAGCACAACUGUGGAGUUGUCCACAAGCGAAGGACGCUGUCACUAUCAUCAGAGGCGCGUGUGUUGUGUUUGUGUGGGCCCUGAUCGCCACGCGACAAAAGGCCAGAGAAAAUUACAACAUUUGAAGUGUUUCCGACACCUCAACACUGUCUGCGGCGGGAAAUAUGUAAAUACGCUUCUAAUCAAACGAUCUGGAAUUGCAAAUGCCACAGCGAGGUCGCGACCCCGAGCCUUGCUAAUGGAGGGUUUAGGGCACCGGCGGAGCAGGUUGGAGUGACGGGUACCGCGGGGUUGAGAGCGGAGAGCGGACCCCUGGCGGACGACCUCUGCCUGCAGGCCCCUCACUAUGCUGACAGUAAUGAAUGGAGAGAGCUGUUUAUGCAUAUCAACGAUUAUUUACAGGCAAACAGCUGAGGGAGAGCGAGCGCUAGUCAUCAGGGAACACAGACGCACGCUUCUGUUUGCCGUUGUCAAAUGUGAGGCGGGAAGCCAAAUGAAGUUUUCUGUGAGGUCAUCUUAAAGCUGGAAGCAUGCAACAGACUUCCCACAGUGCCCUUGAACUGUUGUUCUCAAAGAGUGUUACAAGGACAAUGGUUCAAUCACUUCAACACAAACAAUGCUUCAACCUUCUACACACUCAUGGGAAAUGGGCAGAGCCAAUGAUGACGGACAGUCCAAUCUUCAAACCAGACACCUUUAAGAAGGACAUGACUCUGGCCCACUAGCUUUGGCCCAGCCAGAGCUGAAGAGACUUCUUUAUAGGCACAGCCCGCAGUAUUGGCAACUAAGAUAGGAAGAGUCGACUCUACUAGACCAAGUGGAGUGGAAUUCGUGAUUAGGCCUCUUCCCAUGUGUCGACUUUAUAAUGAACGGGAAAAGAAGGAAGGCUUUCUAAACAAACAGCGACGUUAACAAUAACCAGACGGAGGAAUGCAGCGCGAACGCCGGCGUGUCAGAUCGGCUGAACGUCAGUACGUUAUGACCCGGCUCACUGGCAACGUCAGUCAGAUGUGGAGCUAACAGACACGGAUCAUAGAUGGUCCUGCCAGCUACAGAAGACCACGAGUUUCACCGCUCGCUCUGCUACAGGGCUCAGGGAGUAGAUACCGUUACAGGGGCAUAUGUUCUUUGGCAGCCCAGUCAUCUCAGACACUCACCCUCUCUCUUGUUGACUCAGCCAGCUGGUGGUUGAAGAGAUGGGCAGCGAGCUGAUUAGAAUGACAGGCGUCCCGCUCCGUGAAAGGCAGGCUGAGAGACCGGAGCUACACACACACACACACACACACACACACACACACACACACACACGCAUAUAACACAGAAUGAGCAAAAGAGGGAGACAUAGAGGAUGAGAGCAGAAAAGGAGGGGGUGAAAAAGGCCUCAAAUAUACUACACAUAUACACAUCUUAACAGCGGGUCAGCCAGAGAAAAAGAGAGACAGACGCAGACAGACAGAGCCGAGUCCUCAUUUGCCCCUUUUUGUGAAGAUUAGACAUGACGGCUUUCAAAGACACAGAUAUUUUAUGUGGUCCUGUGUUUGGUAUUAUAAACUCUCCUAGACAUAAAAGAAGCAAAUGUUAAAGGGACUGCGCACUCAAAAAUGAUUUUUCAUUUUUUAUUCUGCAAAAUAAAAGACACUGAAGGUUAAAAGAGGUUUUAAAAAGAACCAAAAAAGUGUCAGUAUGAUUAAUUCGGGUGAUUCUCGCGAAAUUAGACUUAUGAGGUGUCAUCAAACAAAAGUAAAUGCAAAGUAAGUGUAUCAAAAUAAGAAGCAUACCGUUACAAACAUCUCUUCAUGUACUAUUUUACACAUGAUUUCAAAUUACAUCAUACAAACCAAUUUUGUAGUUUUUUCCACAUUUAAGGGGAACAUUUUCUUUGACAUGGAAAUAUUUAUAAUUAAAAAAUCUAAAAAUAAAAAGCUUCAGUGCAUGUUAUACUAUAAACAUUUACAGUAAAGAAACAUGUGGUAGGUGAUCAUUGGUAAAUUUAGAGACAAUAAUAAGGAAUAUAAAUGUGUCCAAGAAAAAUCCUCAUCCUCCGCAACAAUUUUCAAUCAUUGUUUAAGCCCUAAAGGAACUAACAUUUAAAAAAAAAUGUUGGAAGGGACAUGAUUGACUGUGACACUCAAGAUGGCUACCAGUUAAGCAGUUCUUAUUUUUUUUUGCCAGAUAAAAGUUGAAAUUUUGUUUGUCAUAGUACCUAGACAACUUUUUAGUUCUCAUUACCGAAACAUGAGUUUGUAAAUGCAUAUAUUUAAUGUAAUAUCAUGUUGCUGUAAUGAUAAUUUUUGAUAAUGAUAAUCUAAAAAAAUGUAAAUUUUAUAGGAAAUAUUUUUUAAAUCCUCUAAAAAAUGGUUAUAGUAAUUUCAGAUGUUAAUCUUAUAUGUGCAAAAAAAAUUUGCUUCAAUGAUGCUGAACACCUUUUAAGUCUGGAUUUCGUGAGAAUCACCCAUUCGCUAUUUCUCAAAGACGGAAUAGAUUUGUGGUAGUAUAGACUAAAACCUGUUCUUCUUCAUGUGGUCGUAAGUGAAAUACCAAUAUCUGAUUCAACUAAUUUUUGGAUUUAUGUCAGUUCUUUUUAUUGAAUCCAUUAAUUCAGUUCACAAAUCCGUUCUGAUUGAUUUAUAAACAAAUCGAGUUGAUUCAGUUCUAGUGAUUCAUUGAUUCUCAUAGAUUCAGUGAUCCAAUCGCAGCAGUUUACUGUAGGGAGUGUUUUAGCUGCUGUGAUAAUUAUUUGUUAGUAAUUAAUUCAAUUGCUUGGAAAAGGACAACCAGUACAAUUGUUUCAUUCCUUUUUGUUUGUUCCUCAGAAGAAAAUAGCCACACAUGAUUGUAACGACCUGAGAAUCAAUAAUUAAUGAACAAAAAUCUUAAAUGAAAAACCCAUUAAAGCUUAGCCCGAUCAACAAUAAAGUGUAUACUUCCCGCAAUGUAUUGUCAGCAAAUAUUGCCCAAUAAAUUUACACCAAAGUAAGCCAUUUGGGUCAACUAAAAGCCGUCCCGUUCUCUCUUCGCUCUGAUAAUAGGUGUGGUAAUUGAUCCCGCAUCAGGUUAUUGAUGUCUGGAUCAAUUAGCCUUAAACUGGCUGUAUUCGAGGUAUUCAUUUUAGGAAACAAUCUGCCUUUAUAAUACUGCACAUUAAUCAUUAGUAAAUGCCACUUAACACAAGGUUAAUUACACUCUUAACGACUCCCAUAUCCAUUUUGAAGCUGAGAGCUCUUGUAUGUGUAAUUUGCUCGUCAUAAUCUCAAGCAUAGUACAUUUUAAGUGGCUGAUUGAUGGAUAGGAAAUAAAAUCUGCCCAUCGUUUUAAAAGAUAAUAGAACACCUUACAUAAAGAGGUCAGAUGCCAAAACCGACAGCAGGUAGAGCGAGGAACUUCACGUUCAAGUUAAAAUUGAACUUUUAAUGUUUCAGUUUAAGAAAUGUCAUAGGUUCAGUCGAAACCAAUUGGUGCAAAAAAACUCCUUAUCAGUGCAGAUUCAUCAAAAUCAAACCUUUUAAAUGUAUUAAUAAAAUGACUUUUAUUAAUUAUAGUACUAUACUUUAAUAGCCUAAAUGUAGGCGGACUACGAUUGCAAAGCAAUUUGCCAUAUUAACAUACAUGCAGUCACACACAUCUAUCAAAGCAUCGAACAUGACUCAUCCAAUGAGAAAUAAGAGUCCUUUUACAAUAUGUAAUGUAAAAUGUUUAUUCCAGAUUCAGUAAGGUCACGGCUCAAAAAAACAUCGCCCACAUCUGACUGGUAAUGCGAAGAUUUAUUCGCUCUCGUCAUUGACCGGGGCAUCGUUUCAGCUCGCCCAACUUCUCUUGCUUUCAAAUGAAAACUAUUGAUUUAAAGUCAGCUUGCCGCGGAUUUCAUUUGUUUGGAAGCGCGAGAGCUGUUAAUUCCGGGUAAUAUCGCCAUAAACAGGAAAUGCCACCUAUCUGUGCGUGUUGUAACCUUGUUUCACUACUGUUCCCGGGAUGCUAAUGGCAGCGGAGAGUUAAUCUGAAAAAUAUGUCCAUGAAUCAAAAGCAGAUUGAUCGGCUCCUUCAUUCGUGCAACACAUUACAAGGGCACGCGGAGUCCGUAUACGUUUCACUACCAGAUUAACUACCUUUUAAAAAGGUGGAACCGCAGCGCAUUUCUCCAGGGUAAACUUUAAAGAAUAGCAAAGGGACAGAUUAAUUCUGGUAACCUUGAUAUUCUGUAUACAGAAUAGUGUACAUACAUGCCACACAAAAAUACACUUACAGUGCAGCACAUUUCUGGAAUUUACAAGCCCCCCGACACGUGCACACAUCCACCCCCUCUCUCCUUCACACACACGAAAACGCACACAAUCCAGGCCUGCGUUCACACCUUGCACGUUUUCAUUAUGCGAGGCUAAGUGGGCGGUACGCCCAUCCUCCCCCCGUGCUCUCUUGCCAUCUUUAUAUGAUAUUUUGGGUAAUAAUCACUGCUAUCAGGCCAUCCUCUCUCUCUUUGUUUCAUUUCCUGUUCGUCGGCAGGCUCGCCGCCUCUCUCCGCUCAUCCCUCUUCUCAGCUUUGUGUAGCGCGGGCCUUCACAAUAGAGAGGCGAGGCAGAGGAGGCGUUCGGCUGGCACAGCGUGUCAUUAACUCUUUACUGUUGCCGGCGAACCAGACAGCAAUCUGACUUACCGCACACGAUUAUACCAGGCCUUUCUCCGUAGCCUAACAGUAUUUAUUAACGUGUCCCUCCCUGUCACCUAUCAACAGGUACUUAAAGGCCCUUCACCUCGCGGUGCACUUAGCGUCGAGGAGAACACCUGUGUUAAUGUGUCACUCCCAAGCUAUUUCUGUGAGUUAAAAGGCAGCUAUUGUGCCGAAUGAUAACGCACGAGCCAUAACAAUGGAGAAAAGCAGGUGUACGAGCGGUUGCUAUGAUAGACUUACAAAACUGGUUAAAGUAAGAUGUAAUAGAUAAUUGCUUCAUUUACUGUAUUUAAGCUGUGUUUUGAAUUGCAAGAUCAAGUGAAACCGCUGGUGCCAAAUGUAACAGUUUUGUGAGUGUUGUAAAUGUUAUUAUUAUACUGUAUGGAAAGAAUAACGUCAGCUGAUCAUUAUCGUGAUAUUAAAUUUGAAGGGGAGGGGCAGAGAUGUCUUGUAUCAUCCUGAUGGAGGUAGCUUUAAUGACCGCCUGAAUGUACAUACGCUUUACUGAAAUUUAUACCGCUUGUUACCUGGUUUAACAAGUAAAUCAAUAAAUUGACAUAUUGAAUGGAGUUAAAAUUAUUUUAUUAAAUGCAAAAAAAUGUAAUUGUAUAAUGAGAGAAAAAAAUAACACAGUUAAAAAACAAUUUUGUGGUCAUUAUCUAAAAAAAAUUGACCAGCAAUCAGGAUUGCAAGGUUCAGUUUCAUCAGCACUUAUAUUAAAAAGUGUUAUUACAGGGCUUGUUGGAAUGCUUGAAUCUGAUUGGCCAGUCGUGACAUUUGCAGGUUUGUUAUUCUCAGAUACUUACAAUACUUACAAAAUUUAAUUAACUUACAAAUGAUUAAACGAAAUAGUGUGUUCGUGACAUUUGAACAUCUUGUCUUAUCUUAAACCAAAAGUAAGCAGGUUUUCCUUUCAUUCGUUAAAAAUGAGCUUAUCAAAUAUUUCAAAUAAUAUUGAAUGUUCCUUACCUUACUUGUGACGUAAAUAGCCGUGUAAUAAGCAGGAUAAUGUACAGGCAACCGGUUGUUAUCGUAAAAUAAUUAUUAUUUCUGCGAUAACAACCUGCUG